CACCCGAAAAUUAUUACUGCAUUUUACCUUCUAAGUGAACUUAAUUCAAACUAAGAAUUUCCUUAAUCUGAAUGGUAAAAUUUAGUUACAUAAAUAUUAGUAAGAAUUGCAUCGCGGGUGCAAUAGCUAGAGUAUUUCCAUGCAAGUUACUUUAUACAUUAUCAAUGGUAUGCAUUAUUCCUCAUUAGAUAUUUUCUAAAUAAUUCUUGUAUUAUCACAAUACACAUAAUAUGCUCCAUUAAGGUUAGGCAGAAACCACGUAGAUAAGACUAUGUCGCGACAUAGGAUAGCAGAUCUGCACCCCAUACAGUUUGGUACUCCAGCUACAGGCUGUUGAGUGGAUAUGAUUUAUAUACGGGCCAUAACAGCCCAGCCAUACAGUAUUCAUCCAGUUUCAUACAGUUCAUACAGUUUUUCUUAUCACUUUGGUUUCACUAUAACCUUAUGGAGCCAUGCAGUUAUGUGAUUUAUUAUUUAUAAAGUAUACGAUGGUUAAUAAAAGUUGCAAAAUUUAUACAGCAUCAUGAACAGCAGGUAAAAUCAUGAAAGUAUAAUGAUA
Molecule: long non-coding RNA, 559 nt
Filed under: Jatropha curcas
Lineage: Eukaryota; Viridiplantae; Streptophyta; Magnoliopsida; Malpighiales; Euphorbiaceae
Description: long non-coding RNA (JCUR_LNC002315)
Source: RNAcentral